GAGAGAAGAAGGAAGGAGGAAGAAGAAAGAAGAAGAAGAAAGGAAGGAGAAAAAGAAAAAGAAAAAGGGAGGGGAAAAAAGAGAAAAGAAAGGGGAAACCGGCGGCGAUUGCGGCACGCGGCGAAAGUUACGGAAGGGGGUAAAUGAUGGCUGUCGGCGUGGGUGCCGGGACGGCGAAAUCGUCGGGAAGAGUUUGGAUUUCCGGGAGCUCAGCGGUAAAAAGAUUUUGAAAGCAAUUUUUAACGGGUGAUUUAAGGUGGUGAUUUCUGCGGAUGUUACAUUGGCGCCAUGGAGGCUGGCGCCAAGACGUUAUAGCUUGGCGCCAGCCAUCCUCGCGCCAAGCUAAGGGUCCAUUUUUGGAAUUGGU
RNAcentral lists this long non-coding RNA (367 nucleotides) under Setaria viridis. RNAcentral's name for it is "long non-coding RNA (SVIR_LNC005739)". The record is from RNAcentral. Lineage: Eukaryota; Viridiplantae; Streptophyta; Magnoliopsida; Poales; Poaceae.